RNAcentral lists this ribosomal RNA (468 nucleotides) under uncultured bacterium. Its description in RNAcentral is "partial 16S ribosomal RNA". It matches the Rfam family "Bacterial small subunit ribosomal RNA", at positions 28 to 507 of the family's 1533-position model. The record is from RNAcentral.
GACGAACGCUGGCGGCGUGCUUAACACAUGCAAGUCGAACGGAAAGGCCCUGCUUUUGUGGGGUGCUCGAGUGGCGAACGGGUGAGUAACACGUGAGUAACCUGCCCUUGACUUUGGGAUAACUUCAGGAAACUGGGGCUAAUACCGGAUAGGAGCUCCUGCUGCAUGGUGGGGGUUGGAAAGUUUCGGCGGUCGGGGAUGGACUCGCGGCUUAUCAGCUUGUUGGUGGGGUAGUGGCUUACCAAGGCUUUGACGGGUAGCCGGCCUGAGAGGGUGACCGGCCACAUUGGGACUGAGAUACGGCCCAGACUCCUACGGGAGGCAGCAGUGGGGAAUAUUGCACAAUGGGCGGAAGCCUGAUGCAGCAACGCCGCGUGCGGGAUGGCGGCCUUCGGGUUGUAAACCGCUUUCGCCUGUGACGAAGCGUGAGUGACGGUAAUGGGUAAAGAAGCACCGGCUAACUACGUG